AAUGAACGCUGGCGGCAGGCCUAACACAUGCAAGUCGAACGGAUCCUUCGGGAUUAGUGGCGGACGGGUGAGUAACGCGUGGGAACGUGCCCUUUGGUUCGGAAUAGCCUCGGGAAACUGGGAGUAAUACCGGAUAAGCCCUCCGGGGGAAAGAUUUAUCGCCAAAGGAUCGGCCCGCGUUGGAUUAGGUAGUUGGUGGGGUAAUGGCCUACCAAGCCGACGAUCCAUAGCUGGUUUGAGAGGAUGAUCAGCCACACUGGGACUGAGACACGGCCCAUACUCCUACGGGAGGCAGCAGUGGGGAAUCUUAGACAAUGGGGGAAACCCUGAUCUAGCCAUGCCGCGUGAUCGAUGAAGGCCUUAGGGUUGUAAAGAUCUUUCAGUUGGGAAGAUAAUGACGGUACCAACAGAAGAAGCCCCGGCUAACUCCGUGCCAGCCGCCGCCGUAA
RNAcentral lists this ribosomal RNA (449 nucleotides) under uncultured bacterium. RNAcentral describes it as "partial 16S ribosomal RNA". It matches the Rfam family "Bacterial small subunit ribosomal RNA", at positions 29 to 523 of the family's 1533-position model. The record is from RNAcentral.